CUUUUUUUUUUUUUUUUUUAAACUUUUUUUUUUUUUUGCUGAGUAAUAGUUUCUCUUGCAUCAAUUAUUGACCUGGUUGAACUGUGACAAAUCCAAACAAUAUGUUGCUCCUAUUACAUUAGAAUGAAAAAACAUAAUAUCUUUGUCUGAAUAAUUUUUUGGUAAUAUGUGUGGUAUAUAUGUGUAUGAAUUUUUAAAUACCGGUAAUUUUUUAAAAUUUUUAUUUUGAAUCAUUGUACUUGGUUGACUGCUUUUAUUUAUGUAACAAAUACUAAAAAUAUUCUCUUUUCAAGUCAGAACUUUAUUUCAGUGCAAAAGAUUUUCAUAAUCAAAGACGCUAAAUUGCUUUUAAAAUGAUUUUUUGAGGAAUGUAGCAAGUUUUUUUAAGGAUGAUGACCCACAAGGCAAUUUAAUCUUGAAAUUUGUUUACUGCUAUGCAAAUUGAUUAUUUCCAAAAGAGCUCGAAUGUGUUUCUCUUUACUUUGUGUCAAUAAUUUAUUUUAUUUAUUGAGCAUAUUUUACAACCAUGUUGAGCUCUUCGAAUUGUAUCAUGGAAAAUAUUCUCAAAGCUUUGUUUGGAACUAUACAGUGUCUGAAACUACAUCUUUUUGGUGGCAUUGUCAUGGAAAGUACUGUUUCAAAUAUAAUUUUGGGAAAUAAAAAAUGAAUUGACAUACUGUAAUAUGCAAAUGCACAAUUUUUUAACCUAACAAUUCAUUUGAAAUUCAGUUUCUUUGAUUUGGAGAACGUCAUUCUUGGCACCUGAAUGUUUUUUCAACAUUUGUAUUCAUUCCCAGGUUAUGGCUUUCUGUUACCGAUACCUGACCAAUGUGAAGGUCAAAUGACCUGUACAAAAAUUUUUUUUGAUGGAUGAAAAGUAAACUUUAGCAAUAAAAGUUUUCUCACAUGGGAAACUUUAAAAAAAAAAAAUAAUUAGCAUAUUUGUAUAUCUGAAUUCCUCUCUCUCCACCAAAAGUGUUUUUAAUGAUCCUUAAAGCCGAAGUUCUAGUCUUUCAUUUACUGCACACACAUUGUCAUAGUCCUUGGAUAUUUAGACAUUCUAUGAACAAGCAUUACAAAAGAAAUGUACUCAUAAAAUUGUCUUUCCCUGGGUAGGCCAUAACGUUGUCUUUCAAAGAAUAGUUAACUCUUGACAUUAGCCUGCCAUUGUCUCCCUUUGCUACUUUGGGACAAUGUUGAUUUUGGACGCUAUAACAAGCAGUGCAGCCUUGACACACUUUCACACACUUUUUAUGAUUUUCAAUAAUUGUUGGUGUUUAGAUUUUGAUUCUUGUAAGUUGAUUGAACACAAAUGAACUCAACAAUACAAAACACAUUUGCCCAUAUCUUUGCGGUUGUUGUUGUUUUUUUUUGUCAGGUUUUAUUUCUUUUGAAAUGAUGGCCAGCAUAGAAUUUUUGUAGCAAAGUAUUUUACAAAUUUUGAAAUAUUUUUUUGUUAAAAGACCAUCAUCAAUAAUAUUAUUUGUUUCCUUGCAAUUAUGCAUGUUUAUGUGACUCUUGUUUUGUUUUUUUUUUAAUGUUCUAAAAUCACAUUUUGAACUGACUUGAAAGCAUUGAAUAAAAUCUGAAAUCUAAAAGAA
This is a non-coding RNA of Biomphalaria pfeifferi, 1601 nucleotides long. Lineage: Eukaryota; Metazoa; Mollusca; Gastropoda; Planorbidae. The record is from the annotation of a GenBank genome assembly.